GACGAACGCUGGCGGCGUGCUUAACACAUGCAAGUCGAACGAUGAACAGGAGCUUGCUCCUGGGAUUAGUGGCGAACGGGUGAGUAACACGUGAGUAACCUGCCCUUGACUCUGGGAUAAGCGUUGGAAACGACGUCUAAUACCGGAUAUGACCCUCGCUGGCAUCGGCUGGGGGUGGAAAGAUUUUUUGGUCAAGGAUGGACUCGCGGCCUAUCAGGUAGUUGGUGAGGUAAUGGCUCACCAAGCCGACGACGGGUAGCCGGCCUGAGAGGGUGACCGGCCACACUGGGACUGAGACACGGCCCAGACUCCUACGGGAGGCAGCAGUGGGGAAUAUUGCACAAUGGGCGAAAGCCUGAUGCAGCAACGCCGCGUGAGGGAUGACGGCCUUCGGGUUGUAAACCUCUUUUAGUUGGGAAGAAGGGAGCUUGCUCUUGACGGUACCAGCAGAAAAAGCACCGGCUAACUACGUGCCAGCCGCCGCCGUAACAC
Molecule: ribosomal RNA, 492 nt
Filed under: uncultured bacterium
Lineage: Bacteria
Description: bacterial SSU rRNA
Rfam family: Bacterial small subunit ribosomal RNA
Source: RNAcentral